This 253-nucleotide ribosomal RNA is filed under the name uncultured bacterium. RNAcentral's name for it is "partial 16S ribosomal RNA". It matches the Rfam family "Bacterial small subunit ribosomal RNA", at positions 524 to 776 of the family's 1533-position model. The record is from RNAcentral.
UACGGGGGGGGCAAGCGUUGUUCGGAAUUACUGGGCGUAAAGGGCUCGUAGGUGGCCAACUAAGUCAUACGUGAAAUCCCUCGGCUUAACCGGGGAACUGCGUCUGAUACUGGAUGGCUUGAGGUUGGGAGAGGGAUGCGGAAUUCCAGGUGUAGCGGUGAAAUGCGUAGAUAUCUGGAGGAACACCGGUGGCGAAGGCGGCAUCCUGGACCAAUUCUGACACUGAGGAGCGAAGGCCAGGGGAGCAAACGGG